This 228-nucleotide ribosomal RNA is filed under the name uncultured bacterium. RNAcentral's name for it is "partial 16S ribosomal RNA". It matches the Rfam family "Bacterial small subunit ribosomal RNA", at positions 94 to 339 of the family's 1533-position model. The record is from RNAcentral.
AGCGGCAGACGGGUGAGUAACAUGUGGGAAUCUGCCUUUUGGUUCGGAAUAACAAGGGGAAACUUUUGCUAAUACCGGAUAAGCCUUUACAGGGAAAGUUUUAAUGCCAAAAGAUGAGCCCGCACUUGAUUAGCUAGUUGGUAAGGUAACGGCUUACCAAGACAGCGAUGGGUAGGGGCCCUGAGAGGGGGAUCCCCCACACUGGUACUGAGACACGGACCAGACUCC